UACGUAGGGGGCAAGCGUUAUCCGGAAUUAUUGGGCGUAAAGAGUACGUAGGUGGCAACCUAAGCGCAGGGUUUAAGGCAAUGGCUCAACCAUUGUUCGCCCUGCGAACUGGGAUGCUUGAGUGCAGGAGAGGAAAGCGGAAUUCCUAGUGUAGCGGUGAAAUGCGUAGAUAUUAGGAGGAACACCAGUGGCGAAGGCAGCUCACUGGACUGCAACUGACACUGAGGCUCGAAAGUGUGGGUAUCAAACAGG
RNAcentral lists this ribosomal RNA (252 nucleotides) under uncultured Clostridiaceae bacterium. RNAcentral's name for it is "partial 16S ribosomal RNA". It matches the Rfam family "Bacterial small subunit ribosomal RNA", at positions 524 to 776 of the family's 1533-position model. The record is from RNAcentral. Lineage: Bacteria; Bacillati; Bacillota; Clostridia; Eubacteriales; Clostridiaceae.